Molecule: long non-coding RNA, 1030 nt
Filed under: Mus musculus (house mouse)
Lineage: Eukaryota; Metazoa; Chordata; Mammalia; Rodentia; Muridae
Description: RIKEN cDNA 4930563J15 gene, transcript variant 2 (4930563J15Rik)
Source: RNAcentral
AGUUAAGACAUAGGCUUCUCCAGCAGCAGCUCUCUUAUUGAGGUUCAGUCUGUGGGACACAGGGCAGUUCUUUGAUGUGUUCAAGCCACUGGGUCAUAUCCCACAAAGCCACGGCAGCCUUGAAAAAUAAUCACUAGGUACAGCAGUGUGUGCUUGCUGUUUCCAGAAACCAUCUAGAAUUGAGCAUCAAGCUUAGGACUCCGAAUUACAGAACACCCAUCACUGCACAGAUCUACAUCCGAAUAUACAGAACACCCAUCACUGCACAGAUUUCAUCUAAAAAGAUAAUCUGAAGAGAUGUGCUGCCUUGCCUACAGUCAUAAAACAGAAUACCACGGGGAAAUAAAAAUAAGAGUUUGCAUUAUAUCCUGACAUUUCUUAGAGGGCUUAAGUAAAGCCACACAGACCAAGAAGAACCUGGGUGAAGAAAGGAUCAGAAGACCCUAGAGGACACGGCAAACCCACCCAGGGGAAUGGCAUAGCUGUGCGUUGUCACUCCGUCUGAGCAUUUCUCAAAGUGUGGGAAGAGCCAUCCAGAGGAGGGGAAAAGCCACAUCAGUGAGAAGCAAGGAGGGUACAGAGUGAUGACUGACACCCAGGUCCUAAGAAAGCAGUUGUUCUCAACCUUCCCAGAGCUGUGACCCCUGAAUACAGUUCCUCAUGUUGUGCUGACCCCCCAGCCACAGAAUUAUUUUCGUUGCUACUUCAUUAACUGACAUUUUGCUACUCUCGAAAAUCAUAAUGCAAAUAUCUGUGUUGUCUUCGGCAACCCGUGACAGGGUCAUUCGACUCGCUAAGGGGUGGAGACCCACAGGUUGAGAACUGUUGUGCUAAAGCGGGUGGCUGGCUCCUCUCUGCUGAGUACUGCAAGCUCCCACUGAAACCUGUGAUUGGUGACUUGGGGUAGAGGUGGCCAGGGUCUGCUUAUCAAAGCUACCUGUUGCAAUACUAGAAGGAAAACUGAAACACAGACCUAGAAUCUAACCAUUCUCGCAAUAAAGAACCCAUGCACGUGUGCGUGCGUACACAG